Acanthosepion pharaonis is the source of this 97-nucleotide non-coding RNA. Lineage: Eukaryota; Metazoa; Mollusca; Cephalopoda; Sepiida; Sepiidae. The record is from the annotation of a GenBank genome assembly.
UCAAACACCAGUUUCCGUACGAUCAGUGAAGUUAAGCAACAUCAAGCUUGGUUAGUACUUAGAUGUGUAACCUCUUGGGAAUACCAGGUACUGUAAG